UGGGUUGUGGCUCAGUGGUAGAGCACCUGCCUAGCAUGUAAGGCACUGAGUUUGAUUCUCAGCACUGCAU
RNAcentral lists this transfer RNA (70 nucleotides) under Marmota marmota marmota (Alpine marmot). It matches the Rfam family "tRNA". Rfam says of the family: Transfer RNA (tRNA) molecules are approximately 80 nucleotides in length. Their secondary structure includes four short double-helical elements and three loops (D, anti-codon, and T loops). RNAcentral also lists the same sequence under 2 other names. Lineage: Eukaryota; Metazoa; Chordata; Mammalia; Rodentia; Sciuridae. The record is from Rfam by way of RNAcentral.